CCGAAAGGCAGGAGUGCCUGCAAGGGAGCGCGGAGACAGGUGGUGCAUGGCUGUCGUCAGCUCGUGUCGUGAGAUGUUGGGUUAAGUCCCGCAACGAGCGCAACCCUCACCUCUUGUUGCCAUCAGGUCAUGCUGGGCACUCUAGAGGAACUGCCCCGGUCAACGGGGAGGAAGGCGGGGAUGACGUCAAGUCAUCAUGCCCCUUACGUCCUGGGCUACACACGUGCUACAAUGGCCGGUACAAAGGGAUGCCACACCGCGAGGUAGAGCUAAACCCAAAAAGCCGGUCUAAGUUCGGAUUGGAGUCUGCAACUCGACUCCAUGAAGGAGGAAUCGCUAGUAAUCGCGUAUCAGCACGACGCGGUGAGUACGUUCCCGGGCCUUGUACACACCGCCCGUCACACCACGAAAGCCAG
Molecule: ribosomal RNA, 416 nt
Filed under: uncultured bacterium
Lineage: Bacteria
Description: bacterial SSU rRNA
Rfam family: Bacterial small subunit ribosomal RNA
Source: RNAcentral